This 391-nucleotide unclassified non-coding RNA is filed under the name soil metagenome. RNAcentral describes it as "partial contains 5.8S ribosomal RNA, internal transcribed spacer 2, and large subunit ribosomal RNA". The stretch from base 1 to 122 matches the Rfam family "5.8S ribosomal RNA", at positions 35 to 154 of the family's 154-position model. The record is from RNAcentral.
GAUGAAGAACGUAGCGAAAUGCGAUACUUGGUGUGAAUUGCAGAAUCCCGUGAACCAUCGAGUCUUUGAACGCAAGUUGCGCCCGAAGCCAUUAGGCCGAGGGCACGCCUGCCUGGGCGUCACACGUCGUUGCCCCCCCAUCUACUCCUUCGGGAUUGCGGGGGGCGGAUGAUGGCCUCCCGUGCGCCUCGUCGCGCGGUUGGCAUAAAUGCCAAGUCCUCGGCGACGCACGCCACGACAAUCGGUGGUUGCGAAACCUCGGUUGCCCGUCGUGUGCGGUCGUCGCGCAUCGAGGGCUCGAAAAAAUUGCUGGGCUCCGGCUCGGCUUUCAACGCGACCCCAGGUCAGGCGGGGUUACCCGCUGAAUUUAAGCAUAUCAAUAAGCGGAGGA